UGAGGACACGAGUCAUCUGAAGAUCAUCCUGGUACCUGGAAUCUCAAGUGCCAGGCAAGUUGUGCCCUUGAUCACUUCUUUUUACCCACUCAUGUUCUAAUUAAUCAUAAUGAUCUGCAUAGGUUAAUUUUGAUGGGACCUAAUAGGUUACCCUAGUUUUGACUAUCUUUAUACCUUGUUUACCACUGAACUUUUUGGGUAGUACUUGCUAGUGCUUUAUGUGGUUUUGGGUAUGAAGAUACAUUAAUUAUGAUUACACUUUUAUUAUCUGUUUAUUAUCACUGUUCAUGAUAAGAUCAUUAUGUUAAUUGGAACAUGGAGAACCACCCGGGAAAACAGUGCUACCACAAGGGUUUAAUGGGACGCCCUUGGCCGAUUAAUUAGGAAAGCUAGUGGAAGACUACCUUACCCGAAAGGGGCAAGGGCAGUAGGGGAGUGGUCAGUGUAGGGAGGCCCUCGGGAGGAUUUUGCUGUGAUGGCGGUCCUGCAAGGGAUUCCUGGGAAGGCCCUCGGGAGGAUUUUGCUGUGAUGGCGGUCCUGCAAGGGAUUCCUGGGGAGGCCCUCGGGAGGAUUUUGCUGUGAUGGCGGUCCUGCAAGGGAUUCCUGCAUUGGAGCUUCCUAUAAACUGUAGCGGGUUUUCUGAAGCUAGUGGAACUUUGUAAAGGCCUCGUAGUGUUACCCUGCCUCGCCUCCUCGGUAGAGGUGUAUGGGAAGUCGCGAUCCCUUGGCAGAUGGGUAACAUGACUUGUGGGUAAAGAUGCGCAACCUCUGCAGAGUGUAAAACUGGUAUACUAGCCGUGCUCACGGUCAUGAGCAGCUCGGACACUCACAUGAUUAAUUUAUGGAACUUAAAUUCAAUUUGUCAUAUGCAUUGCAUCGCAGGUGAUGUCGUUACUUCUGUUCUACUAUUUAAUUGGGUUGGUAUUUACUUAUACUUAGUAAUUGCUAAUAAAAUUUUGACCAACUUUAAAAGCAAUGCUCAGCUCUAGCCAUCCUCUUUGGUAAGCCUUACACUUCACAUGAGCUCCCACCUUUGGCGAGUUCAUACACAUUAUUCCCCACAACUUGUUGAGCGAUGAACGUAUGUGAGCUCACUCUUGCUGUCUCACACCCCCACAGGUCAAGAACAGGUACCGCAGGAUGAGGCGCUUGGGGAUGCUGCGAUGUGUUCGUGAGAGGUCUAGGCCGUCGUCUCCCAGUCAACUUUGGGUUGCUGGACCGUUGUCUCCUUGUAAUGUAACUAUUUAUUUGUAUAGAACUCCUAUUAUAUAUAAAGUUGUGACAUUCGAUCCUGUGCCACUAUACAUCAUAUGUGUGAGACUUGGUCCCAGCAUACCUGGUGUUUAUGUUAGCGCCCGGGUUUUGGACCCCUAAAAUCCGGGUGUUACAGAAGUGGUAUCAGAGGAAUGUUGACUGUAGGACGAAACCUAGAUAGAAAUGGACAACCAUUCUUUACUUACCCUUGCUACUCUGAUUCUUUUCUAAACUUUUCUUAAUCUUUUCUCAUCUAUUUCCGCUUUACUCUGAUUAUUCUUACCUUUUCAUUCUAAAGACAAAUGUGGAUUUCACACUUUGAAAAUCCUGUGCCUAAAGUGACUUUAGGAAUAGGAGACCUACUCUUAGGAACAAAAACAAAACUAUUUUUAUAGGUAUUUGUAUGCUUGAAUGUUUGUUCUUAUGAUACUUGUUUGAUUUGGAUCUUUGAUUGAGUGUGAUUAGUUGUGGAGUAAUGUCCACAAUCACAUCUGCAUAUACAUAUAGAAAAAAACGGUUAUAAAAAUAUCUAAAUGAACUAGGUUAUCCCUCAUCAAAGAAUCUAGCCUAGCAAAAUCCAUCUUAUCUUGAAAAAGUCUAUCCUACACUCAUAGAUCCAUCUUAUCCUAAAAAAAAUAGAUUCUCAUCUUAUCUUGAAAAGAUUUAUCUUAUCCUAAUAUAUCUAUCUGACCUCAAAAAGAUUCUAUCUUAUCCUUAUGGAUUUAUCUUACCCCAAUAAGCAUAUUUAUCCCACGCUAGUGUAACAACCAUGAUCUAGCCUAAAAUAAAUAAGAUCUUAUCUAGUCAAACUAGUCACACCAAUCUAACCUAGAUCUGAUCUAAUCUAAAGUGACUUAUCAAACAUGUUAGAUAAUACUGAUGAAAUAGAUUAGACUCUACUCCUAUAGAACAGGUCUUAACUUAGUUCACCCUGCACUAAAUUAAGAAUGACAGAUCGACUUGGCCAUAUGCAACUACCUUAACCAUCCAAUAGUUGCAUAACCACACAAUUUUAACCUAGCAAGAGAUUCUAACCUACCUACACCAUACAAUCCAUCCUACUCACAUAUGUCCUAGCCAUAUGUCCUUAACUCGGAUGACAACUCCAAGAAAUAAAGGCCAAAGAAGACCAACCAUGUCAAAGAAGGAUAAGCAUCAACUCAAGACUUCAAAGAUCAAGUUGAAUCGCUAGCGGAACCAGGAUGCACAGUUCUGGAUGAAGUCUGUCCUUAUUAUACCCUUGCCAUAACCGUGCCUCAUGUGACAUAAUAGAUGGAUAGACAUACAAUAUCCAUAUAUUCCAAAUCGUCUACUAACUCUUAUAAAAAAAAAGUUGAACAAAACAUUGAUUCCCAAAACCAAAUGAGAAACUAAAAUGCUAGACCAAACUUAUUGCAUCCCUUUUUCCUACAAAUCUCGAGGACGAGAUUCUUGUUAAGGGGGUAGAAUUUGUAACACCUCAAAAUCUCAUUUUGAGAAUUAUGUAAAAUUUUCCCCUGAUGUUGAGUUAAAAUAUAUUUUUCAUAAGAAUUAUCUUACCUUUGAAACUAUACAUCCUAAAACCAUGUUUCCAGAAAAAAAAGAAAGGAGCUCAGUAAUAAUUUGUUCCUUUGAUAAAUCAUAUCUUCUAGACUUUACUCUUAAGGAUCUUUUUAAAAUUAGAACUAAAUUUCUUAAAAUACAUAUUUUGUGUGCACAUUUAAAAGCAUAAGCAUAAAUAAAUGAGAUAAGAAAUAAAUAACAUAAAAUUAUAUUUUGCAUGCGGAGGUGUUGUUAUAAUGAUGCAUAUGAAUGUGAAUCCUGAACCUAGAUUCGAAUUUGAAUUCAAAAUAAUUUCAUCAUGCUAGAAUUUUGGAUGAGCAUUUAAAACACAUAAUUGAAUUCAAGUUUGAAAACUAGAAAUGGGAAAUGGAAAUGAACAAAAAAAAACAAAACAAUUCUACCUCACCUGGGCCGAAAUUGCCCCAUGCGGCCCAUCUCCCUUGCUCCGCGCAGCCCAACCAGCCGAGCCCAUGCUCACCGCCUGGCGGGUCCCGCCUGUCAGUCGGCCUCUGCGCCCACCAAACCCGCUGUCUCUGGCGCUGGAAUGUGGGUUCCACUUUGUCAGCUCAUUCUCCUCCCUCCCAACAAAUCCGCGACGACUCUACCGCUCUGCUCCGCGCCGCCGCCGUGAAAUCAGUCGGGCGAUUCCCCUUUGAUCUGAUGCCUGCGCCGGGAUCCUGGGCUGCAUUCGCCACCCCUAUGCGCUGGUGCCUCUACUCCCUGCACCUUGCUGUCGGCUUGCACAAUCCGCGAUUCGCGCGGCCGGCUCAACAGACUCCGCAAAACGCCCGCCGCCGCCGGGAUCGGUACAACAGGGAUUGGAUGAACGACCUCGGACAUCAGGGUAUAAAUGGGAGGCCACGCUACUCUUCCCAUCGGCCAUCUAGAUACACCAAAGAUUGAGUGAGAGUGUGUGGGGGUAGCUCAUGAGCGUUCGCCGGUGAAGGAAAAGGAAGCCGCCCGUGACCGAACUCGUGCGUCGCCGUCACCAAGACCUCUAGGUGAGGCCCAGGGGCGUCGCCAGGGCUUGUGGAUGUUGGUGUGGCGUUCACGGGCGCGGUAGACCGAUCGGAGCAUGGAAUUUCACAUCGGAGUUCAUCGCCAACGCCAGGAAUCCGCCGUGCGCCAUGGACUGGGGUCUCUGCUAUACCACUGUAGGUAAUUCAUCUCCUAUUGUGUUUGGUAUCCCGUCCUCAUCACUUAGCACUAACUAGACUCGAGGUUGCGGCCUUCGGCGUUGGAUUGCGCGGCUCCGGUGUGGCUCCGCCAGGUGGAGCUCGGGCGCCGUCGUGCCCAGUCUGUCGGAGGUAGGAGAUAGGGUUUUGGAUCGUCGAUUGACCAAUGAACGACCCAGAUUGGAUCGGUACCUAACGCUUCGGCCUGGGAGAUAAUCACUGUCCGUUUUGAUCGGACGGGCGAUACUGGAUUAGCCCUCAUAAAAUCUCCACCAUAGGUCUUCGAUCGGACGGAUCGCGCUAAAUACUGAUUCGAUUAAGUAACAGUCUAAUCGAUGCCGUCCGUGGGGAAUCCAACGGAUACCUUUGGUCCAUACCCCUUCGCCUCGACAUUUAUGCUAAAGAGACCCUACGUUUUUUUAGAAAUAAACCCGCCAUCCCCGCGGGGAAGACCUGAGUCACAGGGAAUUUUAUGCGUUAGACCCCCGGGUUAUUUGUUUUAUGUGCGCAGUCCAGAGGUCAGAGAAAAAUAAUGAAGGAUUAUAGAAAUUGAUUUUUAGUAUAUAAAUAAUUCUAGAAACUUGUUUAAUCUAUAUAAAAUUCAUAUCGCGACCAAAUUAAUUCAUUCUAGUUCCUAUAAAUUACUAAUAAUGUUGUUUAUCACCUUGUAUCUCUGUUUUAAUAUGAAAAUGGUAUUAAAAUUUAUUUCUUAAUUAAUCUCGUAUCAAAUACAUAAAACCUAAGGAAAUUCGUAUCUCCUUCGUUUUAACUCCGAUUGGAUCCGUUCAAGUUGCGUUAGUCUCGUAACAACGCGUAGAUUAUUAUUACGCAAUUUAUUCUUAUGAUUGGUGUGAUGUUAAUCUUGCCUAUACCAUGUUUGUUUGUAUUGCUACGACUAGCGUGAGGACACGAGUCAUCUGAAGAUCAUCCUGGUACCUGGAAUCUCAAGUGCCAGGCAAGUUGUGCCCUUGAUCACUUCUUUUUACCCACUCAUGUUCUAAUUAAUCAUAAUGAUCUGCAUAGGUUAAUUUUGAUGGGACCUAAUAGGUUACCCUAGUUUUGACUAUCUUUAUACCUUGUUUACCACUGAACUUUUUGGGUAGUACUUGCUAGUGCUUUAUGUGGUUUUGGGUAUGAAGAUACAUUAAUUAUGAUUACACUUUUAUUAUCUGUUUAUUAUCACUGUUCAUGAUAAGAUCAUUAUGUUAAUUGGAACAUGGAGAACCACCCGGGAAAACAGUGCUACCACAAGGGUUUAAUGGGACGCCCUUGGCCGAUUAAUUAGGAAAGCUAGUGGAAGACUACCUUACCCGAAAGGGGCAAGGGCAGUAGGGGAGUGGUCAGUGUAGGGAGGCCCUCGGGAGGAUUUUGCUGUGAUGGCGGUCCUGCAAGGGAUUCCUGGGAAGGCCCUCGGGAGGAUUUUGCUGUGAUGGCGGUCCUGCAAGGGAUUCCUGGGGAGGCCCUCGGGAGGAUUUUGCUGUGAUGGCGGUCCUGCAAGGGAUUCCUGCAUUGGAGCUUCCUAUAAACUGUAGCGGGUUUUCUGAAGCUAGUGGAACUUUGUAAAGGCCUCGUAGUGUUACCCUGCCUCGCCUCCUCGGUAGAGGUGUAUGGGAAGUCGCGAUCCCUUGGCAGAUGGGUAACAUGACUUGUGGGUAAAGAUGCGCAACCUCUGCAGAGUGUAAAACUGGUAUACUAGCCGUGCUCACGGUCAUGAGCAGCUCGGACACUCACAUGAUUAAUUUAUGGAACUUAAAUUCAAUUUGUCAUAUGCAUUGCAUCGCAGGUGAUGUCGUUACUUCUGUUCUACUAUUUAAUUGGGUUGGUAUUUACUUAUACUUAGUAAUUGCUAAUAAAAUUUUGACCAACUUUAAAAGCAAUGCUCAGCUCUAGCCAUCCUCUUUGGUAAGCCUUACACUUCACAUGAGCUCCCACCUUUGGCGAGUUCAUACACAUUAUUCCCCACAACUUGUUGAGCGAUGAACGUAUGUGAGCUCACUCUUGCUGUCUCACACCCCCACAGGUCAAGAACAGGUACCGCAGGAUGAGGCGCUUGGGGAUGCUGCGAUGUGUUCGUGAGAGGUCUAGGCCGUCGUCUCCCAGUCAACUUUGGGUUGCUGGACCGUUGUCUCCUUGUAAUGUAACUAUUUAUUUGUAUAGAACUCCUAUUAUAUAUAAAGUUGUGACAUUCGAUCCUGUGCCACUAUACAUCAUAUGUGUGAGACUUGGUCCCAGCAUACCUGGUGUUUAUGUUAGCGCCCGGGUUUUGGACCCCUAAAAUCC
RNAcentral lists this long non-coding RNA (6251 nucleotides) under Zea mays. RNAcentral's name for it is "long non-coding RNA (ZMAY_LNC001336)". Lineage: Eukaryota; Viridiplantae; Streptophyta; Magnoliopsida; Poales; Poaceae. The record is from RNAcentral.